Triticum dicoccoides is the source of this 428-nucleotide long non-coding RNA. RefSeq lists it as uncharacterized. Lineage: Eukaryota; Viridiplantae; Streptophyta; Magnoliopsida; Poales; Poaceae. The record is from RefSeq and is a predicted model, not a curated record. The transcript has 3 exons.
UCAAUGAUGCCGCACACAUCCUCUCAUCUCGUCACCAAUGGCCUGGAUGUGGCAGCUGCCGUCAACAUCCCAACCGUCACCAGCACCACAUGUUGAAUGACAUUGGCAUCGUGUCACCGGGGCAGCAGCUCAACACCAGCAUUAUUCUGACAAGGAGCGAGAAAACUGUUGAUUUUGCGAAGAACAAUUGUCACUGUAUUGCUUUCAAGGCGGAUGUUCCAUAGACAAACAAGUAUGCAAUCAACACUGCAUGAUUUCAACUGGUUUCCAAUCAUGGAAAGAAGGAACAACAUGAGCUAAAAGAUGCAGAAAAACAGGAUUAGGCCCGCAGAUUGUUGUCAAGGAGAACAUUAAGCUAUGAGGGUGUUUUUUUGGGCAACACCGGCGAUGGUCUCAGCAGCUAAAUGAUGGUGAACUGUAGCUGUUGU